CGGCGGCCACCGCUAUAGGAAUUCGAUUAAGACAUGCGAGUCGAGAGUCGUAAUGGACUCGGCGGACUGCUCAGUAACACGUGGAUAACGUGCCCUUAAGUGGAGGAUAAUCUCGGGAAACUGAGAAUAAUACUCCAUAGAUUAUGGAAUCUGGAAUGAUCCAUAGUCGAAAGUUCCGGCGCUUAAGGAUCGGUCUGCGGCCUAUCAGGUAGUAGUGGGUGUAACGUACCUAAUAGCCUAUGACGGGUAUGGGCCUUGAGAGAGGGAGCCCAGAGUUGGAUUCUGAGACACGAAUCCAGGCCCUACGGGGCGCAGCAGUCGCGAAAACUUCACAAUGGGGGCAACCCCGAUGAGGGAAUUCCUAGUGCUAUCACAAUUGUGUUAGCUUUUCUCUAGCGUAGAUAACU
RNAcentral lists this ribosomal RNA (407 nucleotides) under uncultured archaeon. RNAcentral's name for it is "SSU rRNA". It matches the Rfam family "Archaeal small subunit ribosomal RNA", at positions 18 to 428 of the family's 1478-position model. The record is from RNAcentral.